Molecule: long non-coding RNA, 212 nt
Filed under: Olea europaea (common olive)
Lineage: Eukaryota; Viridiplantae; Streptophyta; Magnoliopsida; Lamiales; Oleaceae
Description: long non-coding RNA (OEUR_LNC006159)
Source: RNAcentral
AAUUAAGUAUGGUAGGGAUACCUUAACACCCGAGAUUGUCAUAGACUCACUUAGGAGUAAGGAGAUGGAGAUUAAGGCUGAAACAGAGGAUAAGAGGAGUGGCGAGUUACAUAUGAUGAGGAGUAGGAUGAAGUUUAAGCAAAUGAAUUUGGGUAGAACUCAAGACGGUAGUGAUUCGAGUAGUGACUCGAGUGAUGAGGGUAGUAAGAAGA